UAAGGAAUAUUGGUCAAUGGGCGCAAGCCUGAACCAGCCAUGCCGCGUGCAGGAAGACGGCCCUAUGGGUUGUAAACUGCUUUUGUCAGGGAAUAAACCCCCGCUCGUGAGCGGGGCUGAAGGUACCUGAAGAAUAAGCAUCGGCUAACUCCGUGCCAGCAGCCGCGGUAAUACGGAGGAUGCAAGCGUUAUCCGGAUUCAUUGGGUUUAAAGGGUGCGCAGGCGGAUUGGUAAGUCAGGGGUGAAAUCCCACAGCUCAACUGUGGAACUGCCUUUGAUACUGUCAGUCUAGAGUAUAGUUGAAGUGGGCGGAAUGUGUCAUGUAGCGGUGAAAUGCUUAGAUAUGACACAGAACACCGAUCGCGAAGGCAGCUAGCUAAGCUAUAACUGACGCUCAUGCACGAAAGCGUGGGGAUCA
This 418-nucleotide ribosomal RNA is filed under the name uncultured bacterium. Its description in RNAcentral is "bacterial SSU rRNA". It matches the Rfam family "Bacterial small subunit ribosomal RNA", at positions 355 to 770 of the family's 1533-position model. The record is from RNAcentral.